RNAcentral lists this ribosomal RNA (253 nucleotides) under uncultured bacterium. RNAcentral describes it as "partial 16S ribosomal RNA". It matches the Rfam family "Bacterial small subunit ribosomal RNA", at positions 524 to 776 of the family's 1533-position model. The record is from RNAcentral.
UACGUAGGGUGCAAGCGUUGUCCGGAAUUAUUGGGCGUAAAGAGCUCGUAGGCGGUCUGUCGCGUCGAAUGUGAAAACCCGGGGCUCAACCCCGGGCCUGCAUUCGAUACGGGCAGACUAGAGUUCGGUAGGGGAGUCUGGAAUUCCUGGUGUAGCGGUGAAAUGCGCAGAUAUCAGGAGGAACACCGGUGGCGAAGGCGGGUCUCUGGGCAGUAACUGACGCUGGGGAGCGAAAGCGUGGGGAGCGAACAGG